AAAGUUAAAAUCCCUUAUAUUAAAAAAAAGGACCAUAGUUUUGCUAUGUAUCCGCUCUUAGAAGUUUGUAUCUCGUGUUGUAGUAGUAGACGUAACUGUUUAACUAGCUUGUUAUUGAUAACACGUAGUCGUAACUGAAAGGUUGAUCGAUCACAAUGUGGCCUGAACAAAGCCCAUGACUUAUAUUACAGCAGUGAGGAAUCUUGGUCAAUAGCCGCAAGGCUGAACCAGCAACUUGGAGGAAUGUAUGGCAAUAGCCAAUUGCAUUAUUAUGAUGCAGUAUCGAAGUCGAAUAAAGUUCUGGGUAGACUAUGAUAAUGACAUUAUCUAUCUAUGUGGUCUUGACCAAACUACGUGCCAGCAGUCGCGGUAAUACGUUAAAGACUAGUGUUAUUCAUGUUUAAUCGGUUUAAAGAGUACCAAGACUGUUAAUAAAGCCCAUAAAGGGGACACAUUAACUAGAGUUAUAUGAAAGGAGGCUCUUAGGUACUAUCGAGUGUAGAGAUAAAAUUCUUUGAUACAGAUGAAGGCACGGGUCAAUGCGAAGGCAUCUUCUUAUGUAAUAACUGACGUUGUAGGACGAAGGCUUAGCGAAGAAAAAAGGAUUAGAUACCCUCGUAUUCUAGGCAGAAAAUGAUGAAUGUCAUAGGUUGAAUAUAAUAUUAUUUUAUUUGGUCUAUAAAUGAAAGUGUAAGCAUUCCACCUCAAGAGUAAUUUGGCAACAUUGGAACUGAAAUCAUUAGGCCGCUUUUGAAACCAGUAGUGAAGUAUGUCGUUUAAUUUGAUAACCCGCAAAAAACCUUACCACAUUUUGAAUAAAUAUUUAUAUAUAAAUAUUUAUAUAUAUAUAUAUAUAUUUACAAGCGUUGCACGGCUGUCUUCAGUGAAUGUCGUGAGAAUUGGUUAACUCCAUAUAAUUGACGCAAACCCUUACUUUAUUUAUAGAUAAAGUUGUUCACCUGUUAUGGGAUAUGAUAAUAGGGA
This 984-nucleotide ribosomal RNA is filed under the name Nephroma arcticum. RNAcentral describes it as "SSU rRNA". It matches the Rfam family "Bacterial small subunit ribosomal RNA", at positions 159 to 1179 of the family's 1533-position model. Lineage: Eukaryota; Fungi; Ascomycota; Lecanoromycetes; Peltigerales; Nephromataceae. The record is from RNAcentral.